RNAcentral lists this ribosomal RNA (467 nucleotides) under uncultured bacterium. RNAcentral's name for it is "partial 16S ribosomal RNA". It matches the Rfam family "Bacterial small subunit ribosomal RNA", at positions 28 to 507 of the family's 1533-position model. The record is from RNAcentral.
GAUGAACGCUGGCGGCGUGCUUAACACAUGCAAGUCGAACGGACAGGCCCAAGCUUGCUUGGGUACUCGAGUGGCGAACGGGUGUGUAUCACGUGGGUGAUCUGCCCUGCACUUCGGGAUAAGCCUGGGAAACUGGGUCUAAUACCGGAUAGGACCAGUUCUUGGAUGUUGUGGUGGAAAGUUAUGUCGGUGUGGGAUGAGUUCGCGGCCUAUCAGCUUGUUGGUGGGGUGAUGGCCUACCAAGGCGUCGGCGGGUAGCCGGCCUGAGAGAGUGUACGGCGAUAUUGGGACUGAGGGACGGCCCAGACUGCGACGGGAGGGAGCAGUGGGGAAUAUUGAACAAGGGGCGCAAGCCUGAUGCAGCGACGCCGCGUGGGGGAUGACGGCCUUCGGGUUGUAAACUCCUUGCGCUAGGGACGAAGCGUUUUGUGACGGUACCUGGAGAAGAAGCACCGGCUAACUACGUG